Molecule: long non-coding RNA, 151 nt
Organism: Salvelinus namaycush (lake trout)
Lineage: Eukaryota; Metazoa; Chordata; Actinopteri; Salmoniformes; Salmonidae
Exons: 3
Source: RefSeq, a predicted model, not a curated record
GAGGAAUCUGGAGAGAGCCAGGACUGAGGACUAUCUGAAGAGGAAGAUCAGGAGUCGUCCUGAGCGCUCAGAGCUGGUCAGGAUGCACAUACUGGAGGAGACGUCAGCGGAGCCGUCUCUGCAGGCCAAGCAGCUGCAGCUGAAGAGGGCC